RNAcentral lists this long non-coding RNA (4650 nucleotides) under Brassica napus (rape). Its description in RNAcentral is "long non-coding RNA (BNAP_LNC005144)". The record is from RNAcentral. Lineage: Eukaryota; Viridiplantae; Streptophyta; Magnoliopsida; Brassicales; Brassicaceae.
AUAUUAUUGGACGAAGACUUUGAAGCUGUGGUCGGAGAUUUUGGACUUGCAAAACUCAUGGACUACAAAGACACACAUGUAACAACCGCAGUGCGUGGUACGAUUGGUCAUAUAGCACCUGAGUACCUUUCUACUGGUAAAUCAUCAGAGAAAACAGAUGUGUUUGGUUAUGGAGUCAUGCUUCUUGAGCUCAUUACUGGACAAAGAGCUUUCGAUCUUGCUCGUCUCGCCAAUGACGAUGAUGUCAUGUUACUAGACUGGGUAUAUAUUCAUGUGUUUCAGUUUCACACUUGUAUAGUUUCUUCUAUUUGUGUUAGUUAUAAGUGUUUGUUUUGUACCAUUCAACAGGUGAAAGGGUUGUUGAAAGAGAAGAAGUUGGAAGCGCUAGUAGAUGUUGAUCUUCAGGGUAAUUACAUAGACGAAGAAGUGGAGAAGCUAAUCCAAGUGGCUCUGCUCUGCACUCAGAGCUCACCAAUGGAAAGACCCAAAAUGUCUGAAGUUGUGAGAAUGCUUGAAGGAGAUGGUUUAGCUGAGAGAUGGGAAGAGUGGCAAAAGGAGGAAAUGUUCAGACAAGAUUUUAAUUACCAAAACUAUAAUCAACCAAACACUGCUUGGCUCAUUGGCGAUUCCACUUCCCACAUAGAAAACGAUUAUCCUUCGGGUCCAAGAUAAGAUUCGUAACACGAAUUAUUUCUGUUUUUAUUUUUCUUCUUAUGUAUUUAUUAAGGGUUUAGUUUAUGCUGAUCCAUAUUAUUGAGUUCUUUAAGCGAGUACAUGUAUGAAGAUUCAAUUCCAAGUUAUAUAAUCUUUUAAAGCUAGACACUUUAGUCAUCUACAAACAAAAAUCUCACAAAACUAUACUUUGUUACUAUGUUACCCAAACCAAACCAUGUAAAACUUUUUUUUUAAAUUAUGAUUGAAUUAUCUUUCUUCAUAUCAUUAGACACGACACACACAGCGAGACAAGAAAAAAAACAUAUUUAUUUUUCGUCCAUUCGUAGCUUAAGCUUUGCACACCAUAUUUUUAUUGUUUCAGUAUUUUAAAAUGAAAAUAUAUACACUAAAAAACGUAAGCAGUGCAAUAUUACGUUUGUUUUAUAUGCGUCUAUUUUUUUAUUAUAUCAUUUUUCCUCGUCAGAUAUUUGUACUUGCAAACUAUAAAUCUAAGUUUUUUAUUUGUUUCUUUUUUGAUAUUUCUAGAUAAUAUCCAAAUAGCUGGACUAGUUUUAUCUAGAGCCCACAAAACAAAAAGAGCCUCUACAAACUGAGCUGGGCCAAUUUGGACUCACCCUUAAAAGUUUAAACACGUCUUUAGAAGAACAUUAUGAUAUUAAUGAUAAAUAAAGUAAUAACGAAUGGUAUCCCACCAUUCAUCAUCAUGCUUUUUAUCAUCAUACGAACAUAACCAACAUCAUCCCCAGUUGAAGUCGUGCGCGUUUGACUUUGACCAGCUAAAGAGAGCUUGAAAUGCUCCACGUCAUCAAAACUUUUGUCGUUUUCCUCGUUUUGCAUUAAAUGCUAUUUUUAAUUUCACUGUACCAACUCAGACAAGUAUAAAACUCUUUGGCUUUGUCUUCUUUCACAUUUACUUUUUUUUCUUGUAAUAAUCUUUCUUUUUUUAAUUAUUCGUUCUUCUUCCGAUAACUUGUUUCUAUCAUCUUCCUUCCUUCGUUUUCUCUCAAUCUUAAAUCCUCCGGUUUAGUAGUCAACGGUCAGCGAUCUCGGCGUUUUCAAAUCGGAAACACAUAGCUCUGAGAGAGUCUUUGGUUAUCGAUUUGGGUUGGUCUUCUCUUCAAAUUAUAGUCAACGGUUGAAAACGCGUCAAGGGCUUUUCUCAUUGAUUCGAGAUCCUAUGAAGGAGAGUUGUUACUAGGGUUCGUUUUUAAUCUACGAGGAAUGAUGAAACCUACCUUCUUAUGGCUGCUUCUUGUUUUCGAUUUGGUUCUCAGAGUAGCUGGCAACGCCGAAGGUCUACUUCUCUUCGAUUAUUUAUUGUAUAAGCAAAGUUUUCUAUUUGACUUGAGUUAUGUUAUGUAAUUAAUUGAUUGCAAAGGUUUGAAAAGUGUUUUUUUGAUUCUUUCUUUUGGUUAAAACCGCAGGUGAUGCUUUGAGUGCACUGAAGAACAGUUUAGCAGACCCUAACAAGGUGCUCCAGAGUUGGGAUGCUACUCUUGUUACUCCCUGUACAUGGUUUCAUGUUACUUGCAAUAGUGACAAUAGUGUCACACGUGUGUAAGUUUCUUUUUUUUUUGUUUUCUGUCUCUCUGGCGCAAAGAAUGUUGCCUACUAAGAUCUUCAUCUUUGUUUAGUGACCUUGGGAAUGCGAAUCUAUCUGGUCAGCUAGUAAUGCAGCUUGGUCAGCUCCCAAACUUGCAGUACCUGUAAGUUCAUCUCUUCCUAAACAUGAUAUAUCUAGGUGAAGUAGCUUUGAUAACUUUUGUAAUAUGGAAGAAAAUGUAAUGAUACAGGGAGCUUUAUAGCAAUAACAUAACUGGGACAAUCCCAGAGACGCUUGGGAAUUUAACGGAGUUGGUGAGCUUGGAUCUUUACUUGAACAAUCUAAGCGGUCCCAUCCCAAAAUCUCUUGGCCGACUACAGAAACUCCGUUUCUUGUAUGCAACCCCCACUCUUCUCUUACUACCCCUUUUUUUUUAUAAUCAGCCUAACUAUUGUCUUCAGUUUCCUUGAAAAGCUAUUCCUACUUGUGUUUAGGCGUCUUAAUAACAAUAGCUUAUCUGGAGAAAUCCCAAGGUCUUUGACUGCUGUCUUGUCGCUUCAAGUUCUGUAAGUGUACCUUUUGUCUCUCUCUCCCUAGUACCUUUGUGUUCAUUGUUUCUGAUUAUUGUUUGAUAUUAACUUUAUCUUGAAAUGCAGGGAUCUCUCAAACAAUCCUCUCACUGGAGAUAUUCCUGUUAAUGGUUCCUUUUCACUUUUCACACCUAUCAGGUUUUGCUUCUUUCUCCUAAUUUAAACCUUUUGUGGACAUGUCAGAACGGGUUGAUUAAUUAUUUGGAAUUUAUUUUCAGUUUUGCCAAUACCAAUUUGACACCUCUUCCUGCAUCUCCGCCGCCUCCCAUCUCUCCUACACCGCCAUCACCUGGAGGUUCUUCGUUUUGUCUAUGUCUACUUGAAAAACAUUCAAAGACUAAGAUGUUCAUAUCAUACUUGCAGGGAGUAAUAGAAUCACUGGAGCUAUUGCUGGAGGAGUUGCUGCAGGUGCUGCACUUCUUUUCGCUGUUCCAGCCAUUGCACUUGCUUUGUGGCGUAGGAAAACACCACAAGAUCACUUCUUUGAUGUACCAGGUUAGAGAAACAUCCAUGGCUUGUUUUUCUCAUUGACACUACUUUGGCUGAGUUUUUGUUUUUGUUACAGCUGAAGAGGACCCAGAGGUGCAUUUAGGACAACUCAAGAGGUUUUCUUUACGUGAACUACAAGUUGCUUCUGAUAAUUUCAGCAACAGGAACAUAUUAGGUAGAGGAGGUUUUGGUAAAGUGUAUAAAGGAAGGUUAGCUGAUAGCACUUUGGUGGCGAUUAAAAGACUGAAAGAGGAACGUACUCAAGGUGGUGAACUACAGUUCCAGACCGAGGUUGAGAUGAUUAGUAUGGCUGUUCAUAGGAACUUGCUUCGGCUCCGUGGUUUUUGCAUGACUCCAACAGAAAGAUUGCUUGUUUAUCCUUACAUGGCUAAUGGAAGUGUUGCAUCCUGUUUAAGAGGUAACUCUCUCAUCUUGUAGCUUAUUCCUUGUCCUCCUAAUUGCUGCAAGGAAAUACCUAAAAGUUCGUUUAGGACCGGUUCUGAGUUUUUGGGGGUUACAUGCAAUUUAGUAAGAAUUUUAAAUUUUAACAAUUUUGGUACCUGUUCUGAGAUUUUGAGGUUUAUAUGCAAUUUAGUAAGAAUUUUUGUUAAAAAAUUUAAACAAGUUUGGUACCUGUUCUGAUAUUUUGAGGGUUAUAUACAAUUUAGUAAGAAUUUUAAUUUAAAAUUCUAAACAAUUUUGGAAUGUUUAUGAGAUUUUGAGGGUUUUAUGCAAUUUAGUAAGAAUUAUUUUUAAAAAAUAAACAGUUUUGGUAUCGGUUCUGAGAAUUUGGGGGGUUGCAUGCAAUUUAGCAAGAGUUUUAAUUAAAAAAAUCAACAAUUUUGGGAGCUUAUGUUUAUAUAAAUAUUUAUUAAAAUUUGGGGGGUCAUAGGUCAAUGUUUCACUUGUAUACGUUUUGAUCUGCUAGUAACGUUUUAUUCUUAUCUUGUCCUUAGACCGUCCAGAGUCUCAGCCAGCACUUGAUUGGCCAAAGAGACAGGGUAUUGCGUUAGGAUCAGCAAGGGGGCUUGCAUAUUUACAUGAUCAUUGCGACCCAAAGAUCAUACAUAGAGAUGUGAAAGCUGCAAAUAUAUUAUUGGACGAAGACUUUGAAGCUGUGGUCGGAGAUUUUGGACUUGCAAAACUCAUGGACUACAAAGACACACAUGUAACAACCGCAGUGCGUGGUACGAUUGGUCAUAUAGCACCUGAGUACCUUUCUACUGGUAAAUCAUCAGAGAAAACAGAUGUGUUUGGUUAUGGAGUCAUGCUUCUUGAGCUCAUUACUGGACAAAGAGCUUUCGAUCUUGCUCGUCUCGCCAAUGACGAUGAUGUCAUGUUACUAGACUGGGU